GUCAGAAAGUUUAGCCCUUCUUGGUGGUCGAAUGCGCCUGAGAAGGAAGCAAUGACCAUACAAUAAUAAAGAAGAGAGAAACAAUAAUAGAGAAGAGAGAACAACGAACAACGUUAUUUUAUUGUCAUGUUCUGGUCAUGUAUAUUUAUGAGUGAGUGACAGUUGCGAGUUGUGACGUGAUUUGUUGUUUUAUUUUUAUAUGGCUCACAUAUAAACUUCAUCUGAGACUUUAUUCAAUUUCCAUUCCAAUAGUGUUUAGUGUCUGUACUUUCAAAUCAAAGAAGCACAGGUUACAAGUUACGAGCGAUUAGUAUUCAUCGUUCUACUUUCAAACAUGGCAGAUUACUGGAAAUCCCAAGAUAGAAAAUAUUGUGAUUUUUGCAAGUGUUGGAUUGCUGAUAACAAGCCUGUAAGUAUGACUAGUCUUUAAGUAAUCUUAAAAAACAAAAUUGAAAGCUGAAAUCGUUUAUUUUAUUUUGAUUAUUGGUAUACCAAAAAUGCACAGACGAAAUGUCAUUAAAUAGGGUAGAUAUGAUUUCUGUGUAUUUCCGUUUAUCUUAAAUGCGAAU
RNAcentral lists this unclassified non-coding RNA (569 nucleotides) under Leptinotarsa decemlineata (Colorado potato beetle). Its description in RNAcentral is "calmodulin-lysine N-methyltransferase, transcript variant X1". Lineage: Eukaryota; Metazoa; Arthropoda; Insecta; Coleoptera; Chrysomelidae. The record is from RNAcentral.